This 253-nucleotide unclassified non-coding RNA is filed under the name uncultured Solibacteraceae bacterium. Its description in RNAcentral is "contains 16S-23S intergenic spacer region". It matches the Rfam family "Bacterial small subunit ribosomal RNA", at positions 524 to 776 of the family's 1533-position model. The record is from RNAcentral. Lineage: Bacteria; Pseudomonadati; Acidobacteriota; Terriglobia; Bryobacterales; Solibacteraceae.
UACGUAGGCAGCAAGCGUUGUUCGGAAUUACUGGGCGUAAAGGGUGCGUAGGCGGCCCUAUAAGUAUGGUGUGAAAUCUCCCGGCUUAACUGGGAGGGUGCGCUAUAGACUGUGGGGCUCGAGUGUGGGAGAGGAAAGUGGAAUUCCUGGUGUAGCGGUGAAAUGCGUAGAUAUCAGGAGGAACACCGGUGGUGUAAACGGCUUUCUGGACCAUAACUGACGCUGAGGCACGAAAGCGUGGGUAGCAAACAGG